ACGUAGUUGAUCCGUGGCUCAGGACGAACGCUGGCGGCGUGCUUCAUACAUGCAAGUCGAACGAGAAGUCUACUUCGGUAGAUGGAAAGUGGCGGACGGGUGAGUAAUAUGUAGAGAAUCUGCCCUAGAGAGGGGGACAACAGAGGGAAACUUCUGCUAAUACCCCAUAUGAGCGUACCUGAAAUGGUAUUCUUGAAAACUCCGGUGCUCUAGGAUGAGUCUGCAUCUGAUUAGCUAGUUGGGGGUGUAAUGGACCACCAAGGCGACGAUCAGUAGCUGGUUUGAGAGGAUGAUCAGCCACAAUGGGACUGAGACACGGCCCAUACUCCUACGGGAGGCAGCAGUAGGGAAUUUUGCGCAAUGGGCGAAAGCCUGACGCAGCAACGCCGCGUGAUUGAUGAAGCCCUUCGGGGUGUAAAGAUCUGUCAGUGGGGACGAAACUUGACGGUACCCACAGAGGAAGCAUCGGCUAACUCCGUG
Molecule: ribosomal RNA, 480 nt
Filed under: uncultured bacterium
Lineage: Bacteria
Description: bacterial SSU rRNA
Rfam family: Bacterial small subunit ribosomal RNA
Source: RNAcentral